Molecule: small nucleolar RNA, 104 nt
Organism: Prolemur simus (greater bamboo lemur)
Lineage: Eukaryota; Metazoa; Chordata; Mammalia; Primates; Lemuridae
Source: Ensembl
AUCCUUUUAUAGUUCAUAAGUGUGAUGACUGGGUUUUCAUGUACAUGUAUGAAAUGUGCCUCCCUCAAACCUUGUUAGGAUGUUGGCACAUUACCUGUCUGAUG